UCAAUGCUCGCAAGAGUGAACUAGCUAACUGAAAUCCUCGAUGUGUCAUCGGGGAUAAGGUAAGGGAAAAUAAUGAUAUUACCUUAUUAAUAGUGUCGUCCAACAACUCGUGCCAGAAGACUCGGUAAGGCGAGAGACACAAACGUUAAUCGUCUUGAUCUGGCGUAAAGGGUUUGUAGGCGGCUUUAAGUAUCCUUUUUUUUAGUUUAUUUUUAUAAAAUUAUAUACUAUAUUUAGUAAUAGUUUUGUAUUAUAUAUUAAAAGAUCAAUUAAAGCUAGAAUCUAAAAGAGGUUAAAACAAUGCUUGAUUACAGGUGUACUAACCGUAAACAACUAGUAGAGUGUUAAGGGCGAAGGCUUUUUUCCAAUAAAGAUUGACGCUGAGAAACGAAGGUGAGGAAAGAAAAAAGGAUUAGAGACCCUUGUAUCCCUCACUGUCAACGAUGAAUGGUAGUUACUAGAGAGAAAUAAUCUAGAGACAAUGUUAACACGAAAACCAUUCCGCCUUGUGAGUACGACUGCAAAGUUGAAAACAAAAAAAUUAGUCGGUUUCGGAGCAAACGAAGUGAAGCAUGUUA
Molecule: ribosomal RNA, 578 nt
Filed under: Sanghuangporus weigelae
Lineage: Eukaryota; Fungi; Basidiomycota; Agaricomycetes; Hymenochaetales; Hymenochaetaceae
Description: partial small subunit ribosomal RNA
Rfam family: Bacterial small subunit ribosomal RNA
Source: RNAcentral